AAAGAACAAGAAAAAAGAAACACGAGAAAGGAAAGAUCAAUGGAUGAACAAAUGUCCAUAAGCGAAGAAGAGGAAGAAACAAACGAGAAAGAAGAAAGAAGAAUAGAAAAAAAGA
Acromyrmex echinatior (Panamanian leafcutter ant) is the source of this 115-nucleotide long non-coding RNA. The record is from RefSeq and is a predicted model, not a curated record. NCBI's taxonomy places the organism in Eukaryota, Metazoa, Arthropoda, Insecta, Hymenoptera, Formicidae.